Gracilinanus agilis (Agile Gracile Mouse Opossum) is the source of this 102-nucleotide small nuclear RNA. The record is from RefSeq and is a predicted model, not a curated record. Lineage: Eukaryota; Metazoa; Chordata; Mammalia; Didelphimorphia; Didelphidae.
GCUUGCUUCAGCAGUGCAUAUAUUAAAAUUGAAAUAAUACAGAGAUUAGCAUGGCCCCUGUGCAACAAUGACAUGCAAAUUUGUGAAGUGUUCCAUAUUUUU